AAUGGCUCAUAAUCCUUUAAUGUUUAACGCUGCAAGCCACGAGUUAAUCAACUAAUCCAUCCAUGGCUAACCCACCCCGCCGUUCGCAAAAAGAAACCGCUGCGCAAUGUGCGCACCACGCCCGCACGACUUCCGCCCGCUCGCCCCGCCAAAAGAAAAAAAAAAGGACUUCCGUCCGCUCCUCCUCAUCCAUGCCCGCACACCAGUCGUUCCCCACAGCACGGGCGGGCCGCCCAUCCUCCCGCCGCCUCCUGCCGUUCGCCGCUCGCAUCAUCCUCCUCUCAGCUUGGCCUCCCCCAUCCUCGCGUCGUUCGCUAGCCGCCCUCCCGCCGUAUGCCGUUCGCUAGAGAUGCGGGCGGACGGUUGGGCUGGCGAGCGGUGGUAGGUUCGUCACGCGACAGGUCGCCUGGGAUGCUAGCCGAUGGAUGCGGGUCAAGCCGACUCGGGCGGCGGCGCAUCUUCGGUAGAGGAGAGGGGAAAAGAAGGAGAGUCCUGGGGGCGGCUGAGGAGGUGCUCGCCGGCGAGCGGGCUCCGACGGCCGCCUGGCGCGCGGGGUUGGAUGGGGGCGUUUCCCGGCAGUCACGGCCGUCCUCGCGACACCAACUAGCCGAAAGCAUCGCCGCUCCCCGCCGCCCGCCGACGCGACGUCGCCUGCCCCUCCUACCCAUGCGACAAUGUUGCUCCUCGGCUCCUCCCCGCGCGACACCGCCUUCCCCAAGAGCGCCCACCCUGUCGUCCUCCUACUCCUCAGUGCCUCCUUCUCGCCUGCCCGCAACACCUUGCCUUGCAGCGGCGCCUGACACACGCACGACCCACACUAGAGCACGCCGCCCCUCGCUGCCCGGUUUUCUUCUUUUCCGUCGCACUGUGCGAAAUCUGCCCCAUGCUCGGUCUGGAUCUAAAUAAGCGGUUGAGAGAGAGAGAGAGAGAGCACAGCGAAGACGCACACACUGUGGAUUGUGGAAGAGGAAGAGAACAUGCUGUUGGAUCCGAGCACCUGUCGGAGGAGCAUAGGCAUAAGGAGGCAUCCAUGAGACAAGUUUUUUUAAUUCGUAUUUCUAUGUCUGCAUGAUGACAUUAGUUAACUGGUAAUAGUAAGUCACUGCCAUACAUCACUGAUGAAACAGUUGUUUUUUCCCAUUUAGCAAAGAAAUUAUGAUCUGUUCCUCUACCAAUAAUUGUAAAUUAGUCAUGACACCCAGUCUAGCACCUGUCAUGUUGUUUGAUUUGUCUCUCUAUAUAUAUGUUCUCAUGAGUGGUCAUAGUUUUACAUGACGAUUUCCAGAAUAUGAAUACAUUGAAAGUUAAUUUGAUUUUCAUAAAUGUGUCCAAUUUUGGUUGUAUAAAUCAAUUUUUAAUUUGGCAUCCCAUUCCAUGCCAAGAAUCAAAUGACAAGCUGAAUUUGUUCCUAUGUAACUGGGGUUCAGUAGCUUCCCUCUCCUGAAUUAUUCUUGUUGUAAUUUCAUGGUUAUGCAAUUAUCAAUCUUCUCUUACUCAUUUCACGUGUCCAUAGUUAGCCAGGCAACUGAAGGUGGGUCAUGUAUUUUAGCACAGGUUCGAUGUGGCGAUUGUUAACUUGUUCCAACUGUGAAAAAUGGUAGUUGUUGCCGGAUGAAUUUCUGGUCUCGCACCUCCUUAUUUUUGGUCUUGCACCAUGGACGGCCUGAACGGCGCUGACGCGUGCUUCUCCGGAGGAGGGCCAUGUGACGGCCAGACCGGCAGACAUAGCCAGGAUAUGUGGUACAAGGGAUUCGAGGCAAAUUGAGGAAGGAGCUGGAGCAGGUGGUGGAUUAAGGAAAGAGCUGGAGCAGAGACGGAUUAGAGCUGCUUAAGUGCAGAUUUUUAGACUAGCCUGCUUGAGUACAUGUUCUUAGAUUGCAUAUGGAAGGGAACUUACGUGCAUGUUGUUUGGAUUGCAGGAUGGAAGGGAACUUAAGUGCAUGUUUUCGGAUUGUACAUGAACUAAGUUCCUGCUGAAAAAUGGUGACUGCAUUUAGAGCUGGCAUUGGUGCUUGGUCAGACAUGGUGUCUUUGUAACUACACUAAGUUCCCUGGUUCUUGCUUAAAAAUGUUUACAAGAUAACAUUUCUAAACAUGAUCUAGAAGCCCUCAAACCAGAUCAAGCUCGGUACAUUGGAAUAAAAAGAAUGACAAGGCAGUUAGAAGUUCAGAAUUCUAUAUAGGAUAUAUAUACUUGGUUGUACCAUAUUUAGCUGAACUAAAGUAGAUGCUCUAACUGUGUUCACAUGAUUUUGAACAGGCCCAUGGAGAGAAGCCCUAAUGUACACCCAAGGUUCAGGGAGGUGAUCCAGGUUUUCAAGAAGGAGGGUGAGUGGAUUAGUCGCCGAUUAGUGCCUUCAUUGUUGUUGAAUAAACUGGCUUCAGCUCUGAUGCAUGUGAACUGUGAGGUGUUUUUGGUAUGGGAAUGAUGAGGUUCUGAUGGUCUAUACCUGAUUGCAAGGUUUGGGUAUGAAUUAAAUUUGCGUCCAAACUUGGCAAUUAUCUUCUAUGAAUUUAGGCAUUGUUCACAUGUCAUUUGAGUCAAACAGAAAUAUGCUUCUGAAAUGCUCCAAUUUGCUGCUUUUCACAUUUAGAGAAGGUUGUUUUAUUUCGUAUUCAUCAGGUUAUGCUAAAGCAGAAGGCAUUGUGCUGACAUUUUUUAAGCCUUACUUGAUUUUGAUAUGUGGUUAGCCGUUUGCCCUUGCACCAAAAACAAACACUAUUCCUAUGUCUUACUUAGAAGCAAAGGUGCAUUAAUUAUUAACUGGUUUGAUAUAUGUUCCAUGGUGGGUGGCAUAGAAAACAAAGCUUCUUUCUAAGACAUGAUGUUCUGUUACUAGCAAAAAAGUGUUAGAAUUUAUAAGUACUUAUUCAAAGAAAAUAAAAACUGACUGGAGAACUGUUUGCUUCUACCAUUCCUUUCAAGUUAAGGCAAAAAUCAUAUUGGCAUGUAGCUUGUGCUCCUGCAGAGUUCUUUUUGUUUUGAUUUUUUGUAAUGUUAAAGGCAUAUCGAAUAAUGAAAUUGCAAUAGUUAUGAUCCCUAGGCCCGACAAAAAACUGACGAGAGUAUUAGGUGGUGGCAGGUAUCAGGCUACAACAGCUGAAUUGCAAGUCUUCUGAUGAGCUUUUGCGGCAAGGAGGAGCAAUCUUACAGUGCAAAAAUGAAGAAGGGGCAAUUCCUCUUCAUGGUGCUUGUGCUUGGGGGUAUGCAUUUUUUAUUUGCAUUGAACUUAUACUUCUUUGCCCCAAGGAGAAGGUUUCAUGCCCCAAGAAGUAGAAUACAUACAGAUAGGCACCCAUCGGGAUCAAGAAACCAAAGUCUGGGCCCUGUUAACUACUCCCUCCGUUCCAAAAUAGAUGACCCAACUUUGUACUAAAGUUAAUACAAAGUUGAGUCGUCUAUUUUGGAAUGGAGGGAGUACAAAGCAAGUCGAUGCCAGCAUACAUAUGAGAAACUGAUGGGCCUGUCAGAGCGAACCCCUGGUUGAAAUUUGUCAAAAGACUGGGCGGUAAACUGAGUGGUAGUCUUAGUAUCUUAAUACACAACUUGCGUACUAUGGGAAUUGUGUUUAUGUUGUUAUGGGAUUAUGGAGUUAUGAUCUAAAAAAAUUAUGGAGUUAUGAUCUAAAAAAGAACUAUGGAGUUGUGUGCAAAGAAAGGACAUUAUGUUUCUCAAAUUGCCCUUUGUAUCUCUAUGUUUUGCACUUUAUCAAAGGCGCAAUUAGUUGAGUUCUCAAGCCAAGUUUUUCCA
Triticum aestivum (bread wheat) is the source of this 3751-nucleotide RNA transcript. RefSeq lists it as uncharacterized. NCBI's taxonomy places the organism in Eukaryota, Viridiplantae, Streptophyta, Magnoliopsida, Poales, Poaceae. The transcript is spliced from 5 exons. The record is from RefSeq and is a predicted model, not a curated record.